GUCAUGUACCACUCAAACCCAACAAUCCUUUCUUUCUCUCUCGUUCAUUUGCGUUUCCAGAUCCCCUUCUCCAUGCUUCUUCUUCUCUGAUAAUCUUCUUCUUCAUUUCUCUCAAUUUCUUCUAUGUUUUCAGUUCUGUGUUCCUUUCUAAAGACUGAUUUUAAAUGUCACAUGUAUCUCUUCCUAUUCUAUCAAUUCUCAUAAACUCAUUCAACCCUUCAUCUUCUCCAAUCCACAUUUCAUCUUGCCAUGAUUAAAAAUUAUUUAAUCUUUUUAUUAUUUUUGUUUUUUUUUUCUUAUUUUUAUGCAUAGAUUCAUAUCUUUAUUUUGUUUUUAUUUUUAUGCAUAUAUUAUUAAUAGAGUAAAAUUACAAUGAUAGAUGUA
This 384-nucleotide long non-coding RNA is filed under the name Trifolium pratense (red clover). RNAcentral describes it as "long non-coding RNA (TPRA_LNC013482)". The record is from RNAcentral. Lineage: Eukaryota; Viridiplantae; Streptophyta; Magnoliopsida; Fabales; Fabaceae.